CCUACGGGUGGCAGCAGUGAGGAAUAUUGGUCAAUGGGCGUAAGCCUGAACCAGCCAAUUCGCGUGAGGGAUGAAUGUUCUAUGGAUCGUACAACUCUUUUAUAAGGGAAUCAAGUGCGGGACGUGUCCCGUUUUGUAUGUCCCUUAUGAAUAUGGAUCGGCUAAAUCCGUGCCAGAAGCCGUGGUAAUACGGAGGAGCUGAGCGUUAUCCGGAUUUAUUGGGUUUAAAGGGAGCGUAGGUGGAUUGUUAAGUCAGUUGUGAAAGUUUGCGGUGCAACCGUAAAAUUGCAGUUGAAACUGGCAGUCUUGAGUACAGGAGAGGUGGGCGGAAUUCGUGGUGUAGCGGUGAAAUGCUUAGAUAUCACGAAGAACUCCGAUUGAGAAGGCAGUUCACUGGACUGCAACUGACACUGAGGCUCGAAAGUGUGGGUAUCAAACAGGAUUAGAUACCCGUGUAGUC
This 460-nucleotide ribosomal RNA is filed under the name uncultured bacterium. Its description in RNAcentral is "partial 16S ribosomal RNA". It matches the Rfam family "Bacterial small subunit ribosomal RNA", at positions 338 to 795 of the family's 1533-position model. The record is from RNAcentral.